GAUGAACGCUAGCUACAGGCUUAACACAUGCAAGUCGAGGGGCAGCGGUAUCGAAAGCUUGCUUUCGGUAGCCGGCGACCGGCGCACGGGUGAGUAACGCGUAUCGAACCUGCCUCAUACUCGGGAAUAGCCUUGCGAAAGUAAGAUUAAUGCCCGGUGUUUUCAGAGUUCCGCAUGAGGCUUUGAACAAAGAUUUAUCGGUAUGAGAUGGCGAUGCGUCCCAUUAGCUUGUUGGCGGGGUAACGGCCCACCAAGGCAUCGAUGGGUAGGGGUUCUGAGAGGAAGGUCCCCCACAUUGGAACUGAGACACGGUCCAAACUCCUACGGGAGGCAGCAGUGAGGAAUAUUGGUCAAUGGGCGGAAGCCUGAACCAGCCAAGUAGCGUGCAGGAAGACGGCCCUCCGGGUUGUAAACUGCUUUUAGUUGGGAAUAAAACGGGGCUCGUGAGCCCCCUUGCAUGUACCAUCAGAAAAAGGACCGGCUAAUUCCGUG
RNAcentral lists this ribosomal RNA (492 nucleotides) under uncultured bacterium. RNAcentral describes it as "partial 16S ribosomal RNA". It matches the Rfam family "Bacterial small subunit ribosomal RNA", at positions 28 to 507 of the family's 1533-position model. The record is from RNAcentral.